Long non-coding RNA from Centrocercus urophasianus (Greater sage-grouse), 1105 nucleotides. RefSeq lists it as uncharacterized. The transcript has 10 exons. NCBI's taxonomy places the organism in Eukaryota, Metazoa, Chordata, Aves, Galliformes, Phasianidae. The record is from RefSeq and is a predicted model, not a curated record.
UUGGAGAUACAGGGGGACAAAAAAACGCACAACAGCAAGAAAACCUCAUUUUAUUGAGGUAUUAAAGCAAUGCACAUAUUGUCCCAGAGCAUGAAGGAUUAUUUUAGCACUUCUAGUGACUACUGAGGAAGGAAACUUCUGAUAGCUGAGUCCUUCAGUCUGGCAGCAAAACCAAAGACAAAUCCAUUGGCAGCAGAUCAGAAAGUGUGGUUUGGGAGGGUGUUGAAAGUUUCUUCGUGGUUGCUCUGGGCUUUUCCUAGCGUGCAAACGUAUUUAACAGCGUGACAGUUACAGAAAGAGAUGAGCAAGAGGAAGAUUUCAGGAGUCAUUGAUGGAAGAGACAUCCAGAAGCUCCAUGACAAGCUGAGUAAGACAGUGCUGAAAAGGAGUCCCCUGGGAACCCUUCCUGUAUUGUGUUCUGGAAGCCUUUAAAAGAAUUUGCAAAGUGACUCCUGCAGACUGGUGAUGGGAACAGGGGCUUGAGCAUUAAGGCAUUUCUAGGAAUGGCAGAGAUGUAGGAUUUUUCCAGGUAUAAUGAAGAAUUCCUUUAAACCUAAGAACACUGGAUCCUGAAGGAGGAAUUUAAAUUUGUUUCUUCAAUGACAUCAUCUACUGGCAGCCUUUGACAUAAAUCUGCUCUUCCUCGGAACUCAGACUGUCCUUGCAGAAGAGCUUGUUCUGUAACUAUUUGAUCUGUGUGCAGACUUCAAGGGAGGAAAGCUGCCUGCCACCUGCUUUCCAAGGAACUGCCAGUUUUGCCUGGAGAAAAUAGCCCAUCUGCUAAGUUUCAUUCUUCAGCCCAGGUUACUGGUGAAGACUUUAUAUGUACAUCCUUGUUUUUAAUACUUCCAGCUGUUCAUUCUUCCCAUGAAAGGAAAUCCCUGGGUAGAGACAUAACAAUCCUGAAGAUGUGUUUAACGUGGUGCUGCCAGUGAACUCUGAGAAAGUUUCAUCUGUUACAAAAGAGGAGGUCUAAAACUGAGCUGGUUGGCUGGAUGAUUGAAGGGGACAGGUAGCAUCUGCAUAUUUUCAGUCUGAGUAAUUCAAAUUCUCCUCUGAAAGCCAUCACUCCCGGUGGACUUUGUAGCAGUCUCUGGAAAUGGAA